RNAcentral lists this transfer RNA (92 nucleotides) under Nitrososphaerota archaeon. Its description in RNAcentral is "Thaumarchaeota archaeon tRNA-Lys". It matches the Rfam family "tRNA". Rfam says of the family: Transfer RNA (tRNA) molecules are approximately 80 nucleotides in length. Their secondary structure includes four short double-helical elements and three loops (D, anti-codon, and T loops). The record is from RNAcentral. Lineage: Archaea; Thermoproteati; Nitrososphaerota.
GGGCCCUUGGCUCAGCCAGGUUAGUGCGCAAGCGACCUGAAAGCGGCUGGCUCUUAACCAGCAUGCCGUGGGUUCGAAUCCCACAGGGCCCG